UGGACACGGAUGCUACACGGUGGAAUGUCUGUGUUACGGUAGUGGCUCCAAGGAGAAAAAGCUGGUCUGCCCAUGGGAGGAAGUCAGAGAAGGCUUCUCAGAGAAUAGGGUGCUCAGGAUGGCACCUUAUCCUGUAUGGCAAAGGAGUCAUGGGAGGGUGUUAAGCAAAAAAUAACAUCAGAUGGAGUUUUAGAAAGGUGGUUGUGGAGUCAGUGUAGGAAGGGCAAGACGAGGCAAGGAGACUGAUGGACUGGCUGCUGCAGUAAUUGAGAGACCACCGUCUCAAGUAAGGAAGUUAAGGGUACAGAAGACGGUGAAGGGCUGGAGACAUUCUGUGGGUAGGAGUGACAAGCUGUGGGAGUCGAUUGUGGCUACAUGGGUGGAUGGAUGAGCAUUCUUCGGCAAAGAAGAUCUAUUUAAAUUUUGUAAAAUGAAUCUCUUUUUUAGAAGAAAUAUCAAACAGUCUUUGGUUGUUCUGUAACUAUCUGGCAUCUCCAUCUGCCUGUUUUUUACAUAAAAUUUUCAUAAACCAAAAUCAAAUGUACUUUAUUUGAUUUUUCAUCUUAGUAGCAGUAAUAUGAGACCCUACACAUUAUCAUCCAGAGGUCAUGAGAUCCAUCAGAGUAAUUUCCCGACAUUGUUUUGACUUUCUGGGAAGCCUGAGGGAAUGUUUUGAGAUGGAUCUCCUUCCCACCCCACUUUGGCUUGAUGCUUCACUUCUGAUUAUUGUGGUGCGAAGAUCUAAACCUACGGCUUACACUAGGCUUGAUUUCUAAGGUCACGUUCAUCUGCAGGCUUUGUAAAAUCUCCUAACAACAUAGUAAGAAAGGUCACUUAACAUAGGACAAUUAACAUGUUCCCUCCCUACGAAUGAAGUUUGGUGUAAAAAGAAGCAAAAAUAGUGCCAGAAAUAAAUUACUGGCUUAUAAACAUGUUUAUUAAAUGCAUCAUACUUGGAGCACCAGAUGUGAGAAAGACAAAGGCUAAAU
RNAcentral lists this long non-coding RNA (989 nucleotides) under Homo sapiens (human). RNAcentral describes it as "HSALNT0188433". The record is from RNAcentral. Lineage: Eukaryota; Metazoa; Chordata; Mammalia; Primates; Hominidae.